UACCCGCGGCCCGAGUGGUGCUCAUUAUUAUUGAGCUUAAAGCGUCCGUAGCCGGCCUUGUAAAUCUUUGGGUAAAUCGGGCAGCUCAACUGUUCGAAUUCCGAGGAGACUGCAAGGCUCGGGACCGGGAGAGGUUCGAGGUACUUCGGGGGUAGGGGUAAAAUCCUGUAAUCCUCGAAGGACCACCAGUGGCGAAGGCGUCGAACUAGAACGGAUCCGACGGUGAGGGACGAAGCCCUGGGGCGCAAACGGG
RNAcentral lists this ribosomal RNA (253 nucleotides) under uncultured bacterium. RNAcentral's name for it is "partial 16S ribosomal RNA". It matches the Rfam family "Archaeal small subunit ribosomal RNA", at positions 474 to 727 of the family's 1478-position model. The record is from RNAcentral.